GUCUCCGUAGCUCAGCUUGGAUAGAGCAUCUGCCUUCUAAGCAGAGGGUCGCCGGUUCAAAUCCGGCCGGAGACG
RNAcentral lists this transfer RNA (75 nucleotides) under Nanobdellota archaeon. RNAcentral describes it as "tRNA-Arg". It matches the Rfam family "tRNA". Rfam says of the family: Transfer RNA (tRNA) molecules are approximately 80 nucleotides in length. The record is from RNAcentral. Lineage: Archaea; Nanobdellati; Nanobdellota.